AUAUUGUUGCGAUAAUAAUCCUGUUCAGUACGAGAGGAACCGCAGGUUCAGACAUUUAGUUCAUGUGCUUGGCCGAUCAGCCAAUGCUACGAAGGAAUUUGAGGAAUGACGACUAAACGUCUCUAAGUUAGAAUCGCACGUAGACAAGGUAAUGACAAAUUUGCUCCCCGAUAUCCGGAAGCACUAUUCUGUAAUUAACGAUUUAUUCGUUUUAUUAUAGUUAAUGCCUCAUUAUAUGGUCUUGCUACUUAAUCGAAUGGUUAAGUGGUUGCCAAAACCGGAUUACAAUUCAAGGUGCAAAAUCACUUGUAGGCGAUUUGAUUAUUGGUCAAGGUUGUUAUUAGCAGUACAGCAACCUUCAUAUUGUGAUCUGUUGAGACUUAUCCUUUGAUUGGACGAUUU
RNAcentral lists this non-coding RNA (402 nucleotides) under Onchocerca volvulus. RNAcentral describes it as "Eukaryotic large subunit ribosomal RNA". It matches the Rfam family "Eukaryotic large subunit ribosomal RNA", at positions 3005 to 3399 of the family's 3401-position model. Lineage: Eukaryota; Metazoa; Nematoda; Chromadorea; Rhabditida; Onchocercidae. The record is from Rfam by way of RNAcentral.